RNAcentral lists this ribosomal RNA (468 nucleotides) under uncultured bacterium. Its description in RNAcentral is "partial 16S ribosomal RNA". It matches the Rfam family "Bacterial small subunit ribosomal RNA", at positions 28 to 507 of the family's 1533-position model. The record is from RNAcentral.
GACGAACGCUGGCUGCGUGCUUAACACAUGCAAGUCGAACGGAAAUGCCCUGCUUUUGUGGGGUGCUCGAGUGGCGAACGGGUGAGUAACACGUGAGUAACCUGCCCUUGACUUUGGGAUAACUUCAGGAAACUGGGGCUAAUACCGGAUAGGAGCUCCUGCUGCAUGGUGGGGUUUGGAAAGUUUCGGCGGUUGGGGAUGGACUCGCGGCUUAUCAGCUUGUUGGUGGGGUAGUGGCUUACCAAGGCUUUGACGGGUAGCCGGCCUGAGAGGGUGACCGGCCACAUUGGGACUGAGAUACGGCCCAGACUCCUACGGGAGGCAGCAGUGGGGAAUAUUGCACAAUGGGCGGAAGCCUGAUGCAGCAACGCCGCGUGCGGGAUGACGGCCUUCGGGUUGUAAACCGCUUUCGCCUGUGACGAAGCGUGAGUGACGGUAAUGGGUAAAGAAGCACCGGAUAACUACGUG